This 520-nucleotide unclassified non-coding RNA is filed under the name uncultured Glomus. RNAcentral describes it as "SSU rRNA". It matches the Rfam family "Eukaryotic small subunit ribosomal RNA", at positions 569 to 1085 of the family's 1831-position model. Lineage: Eukaryota; Fungi; Glomeromycota; Glomeromycetes; Glomerales; Glomeraceae. The record is from RNAcentral.
AGCAGCCGCGGUAAUUCCAGCUCCAAUAGCGUAUAUUAAAGUUGUUGCAGUUAAAAAGCUCGUAGUUGAAUUUCGGGAUCAAUACGUUGGUCGUGCUUUCGGGUAUGUACUGGCGUCAUUGGUUUCUCUCUUCUGACGAACCAUGAUGUCAUUAAUUUGGUGUUAUGGGGAGUUAGGACUGUUACUUUGAAAAAAUUAGAGUGUUUAAAGCAGGCAUUAGCUUGAAUACAUUAGCAUGGAAUAAUGAAAUAGGACGUUUGAUCCUAUUUUGUUGGUUUCUAGGAUCGACGUAAUGAUUAAUAGGGAUAGUUGGGGGGCAUUAGUAUUCAAUUGUCAGAGGUGAAAUUCUUGGAUUUAUUGAAGACUAACUACUGCGAAAGCAUUUGCCAAGGAUGUUUCCAUUAAUCAAGAAACGAAAGUUAGGGGAUCGAAGACGAUCAGAUACCGUCGUAGUCUUAACCAUAAACUAUGCCGACUAGGGAUCGGAUGAUGUUAAUUUUUUUCAAUGACUCAUUCGGCG